This 399-nucleotide long non-coding RNA is filed under the name Vigna radiata. Its description in RNAcentral is "long non-coding RNA (VRAD_LNC011239)". The record is from RNAcentral. Lineage: Eukaryota; Viridiplantae; Streptophyta; Magnoliopsida; Fabales; Fabaceae.
GGGCGUGAAACGAGUUUGAAAGGAUUGUACUGAGGGAAUUAAAAGCUCUGAGAAAAUUACUUGAAGAACAAAGAGACGAGUCUCAAUCGAAUGAAGUGAAUACUGAGUCGAAUAAUGAAGAGUCUGAACAGUUGAGUACUCUAGAGGAAUCUGACAAAGAGACUGGAGAAGAGAGUGUUGAUGAAAGAAGUACUGAUAAGAGUGAUGGUGAUAUGAUUCUUAAAGAAUUUGUUAACAAAAAGAGAAAGAAAAAUUAGCUUUUGUCUUUGUUUUUUUGGUGGAUUAGAAAUGCCAUUAUGUUUUGGUCUUGUUCGAGUCUAUCAGUUGUAAUACCUCUUUGAACAAGAAAUGAAAUUAGUGUUUUGAUUCAAAUUCAUUUGCUUUAAAUUGAUUGAUUGA